Molecule: ribosomal RNA, 236 nt
Filed under: uncultured bacterium
Lineage: Bacteria
Description: partial 16S ribosomal RNA
Rfam family: Bacterial small subunit ribosomal RNA
Source: RNAcentral
GAUCCUGGCUCAGGACGAACGCUGGCGGCGCGCCUAACACAUGCAAGUCGAACGAGCGAGAGAGAGCUUGCUUUCUUGAGCGAGUGGCGAACGGGUGAGUAACGCGUGAGGAACCUGCCUCAAAGAGGGGGACAACAGUUAGAAAUGACUGCUAAUACCGCAUAAGACCACGGAGUCGCAUGGCUCAGUGGGAAAAACUCCGGUGGUAUGAGAUGGACCCGCGUCUGAUUAGGUAG